Molecule: ribosomal RNA, 253 nt
Filed under: uncultured bacterium
Lineage: Bacteria
Description: partial 16S ribosomal RNA
Rfam family: Bacterial small subunit ribosomal RNA
Source: RNAcentral
UACGAAGGGGGCUAGCGUUGCUCGGAAUCACUGGGCGUAAAGGGUGCGUAGGCGGGUUUUUAAGUCAGGGGUGAAAUCCUGGAGCUCAACUCCAGAACUGCCUUUGAUACUGAAGAUCUUGAGUCCGGGAGAGGUGAGUGGAACUGCGAGUGUAGAGGUGAAAUUCGUAGAUAUUCGCAAGAACACCAGUGGCGAAGGCGGCUCACUGGCCCGUAACUGACGCUGAGGAGCGAAAGCGUGGGUAGCGAACAGG